Molecule: long non-coding RNA, 477 nt
Organism: Schistocerca piceifrons (Central American locust)
Lineage: Eukaryota; Metazoa; Arthropoda; Insecta; Orthoptera; Acrididae
Exons: 3
Source: RefSeq, a predicted model, not a curated record
CGCAGACGCGUGCUGCUAUAAAGACUACUAUAGCACCCGUCCGGAAUAACAUCCCAGACUCUGGGCUUAGAAAAUUCUGACCGCUAGCGUUAGCCGAGAACCGCAAGAUGUACAUCGAGAACCGGGAGGCUCGCCGUGCAAAUACAGCACUUAAAUCACAUUUUUCUGUUGCACAAUAUACCGAUAAUUUGAAAUACCAUUGGCAGAAGAAUUGGAGAAGUUGCCACAGCGUCCUUACAACUUCUUCAUCAGAAGUAAGAUUCAUUUCCCAUCUUGAUUACUGGCUGCUCUAUGCACCUCUCCACAUUUAGAAGAGAGAAUUGUGAAGAUUCAAGAUGACUCUUGAGGAACUCACAGCUUAAGAGAGCCAUAAUUUAUAACAUAAGUGUGCAAAAUCAGUACUGGUAUAGUGGGUCACUGAAGUCAUCAUGUGAUUUGAAAGGGAUAAUAAUUAAAUGUGAAGUACACCUUGUUUAA